AUGUACCACCUGCCUUCUACCCUAGCCGGCCCAAUACCUUCUCCGCAGGGACCUCAACAGUCCACUACUUCUGCUGCAUAGCCUAGUUCUUCUACACCAGCAGCUAUUGCUCCUAAUGAUCCAUCAUCAACUGCUUCACCUGUCAACCCGAAGCUGCCAUUUCCAGAACGGUUUGUGAAGUCAACUGAAGACAAGCAGAUUGCAAAGUUUCUGGAUAUGAUGACAGAUAUACAGAUUACCACCCCCAUACUUGAUGGUGUCUUACAGGUGCCGAUGUAUACACAGUUCUUUAAGUACCAGCUCGCAAAGAAGUGA
This 315-nucleotide ribosomal RNA is filed under the name Triticum aestivum (bread wheat). RNAcentral describes it as "partial small subunit ribosomal RNA". Lineage: Eukaryota; Viridiplantae; Streptophyta; Magnoliopsida; Poales; Poaceae. The record is from RNAcentral.